Temnothorax curvispinosus is the source of this 3309-nucleotide RNA transcript. It is a transcript of the gene named transcription factor Sox-14-like, with no coding region annotated. The record is from RefSeq and is a predicted model, not a curated record. The transcript is spliced from 3 exons. NCBI's taxonomy places the organism in Eukaryota, Metazoa, Arthropoda, Insecta, Hymenoptera, Formicidae.
GCUACGUGCUUCGCGAAGUUCCUGAGGGAAUCCCCGCGAUUCUCUCUGUCAGUGCACCAAAAGGACUCGUGUCCGUCAGAUCAAGCCGUCGCUCGAAAAAAAAACAUAUUACAUCACAGAAGCGCAGAACUGUCCUGGAAGAAUUGCUGAAGUAUAACUGUAUCGUGACGACCGAAAGAAGACAACUCCUGACAGUUGAAAAAGCCUCCGUUGACAGAUUAGUUUAAUUUUACGUGAAAUUGAAUUCGAAGACGUAACAGAAAGCUGCACAAGAAGAAUCCAGUGAUCAAUAGACGAUUGCAUGGUUUUUUUCUGAAGAAUUCAUCGAUUAGAAGAUUCGAAAUGUCGUCCUGAUGCAGUUGUUGAUCCAAGACGUCCAUAUUUUUGAAAACAUUUUGGACUUCUAAAAUAUGCACGAUAUUUUUGGGAAGCACUCAUCAUCAGACGAAGAUUUGUCGUUCAAAGAUUUUAAGGAAACGUUGCCGUUGCUCGUGAGCGUUGCAUAAAGAUUUAUUUGUUAACUGAAACGUCUAGUCUUCUUCCGGGAUACUAUUAAAUAUUUGAAUAGAUAGAAUCACACGGAGAAAAUUUAGACAUAUUCCAAAUCAUCGAAAAAUGUCUUAAUUGUUAUUUUCGUGCAGUGAAUGUGAACCAACUUGAAAAGUUUGAAGAUAGAAUUAUCUAAUCGAUCGCGACCAGUCAAAGUUAGUUGACGCUUAAUGUUGACGAUACACCAAACUCAACAAGCUUCGAAAGGUCUUGUUUACGGGAACAGUCAACAGAUCAACUUUGCGGGAACCCUCAAGACUAUACUGAAGAUAAAUACCUUUAAAAUAUUUAAAGAUAUUUUUGAAAAUACGUUGACAGGAUGUACGGAAAGCUAUCUUAUCCACUUGAGAUAGGAGUGUUCUAUCAAUUUUUUAAUCCGUCAGAAAUCUCGUCCACUCAUGAAGAAGGCAAUUAGAUUAAAGAUCGUGGCAGAAAGAGAACGAUUCAUGGAGAUGUCGUCUAAGUCCCUGCAUAACGAGCACAUAAAACGGCCGAUGAAUGCCUUUAUGGUGUGGUCGCGUGGUCAACGUCGCAAAAUGGCACAGGAAAAUCCAAAAAUGCACAAUUCGGAGAUCUCGAAGAGGCUAGGCGCCGAGUGGAAGCUCCUGAGUGAGAGCGAAAAACGCCCUUUCAUUGACGAAGCAAAGAGAUUAAGAGCUCUUCACAUGAAAGAGCAUCCCGACUACAAGUACCGGCCGCGCCGGAAACCGAAGUCCCUGGUGAAAAAGGAGAACAAGUUCGGCUUCUCGAUAUCACCACUGAUAUCACCGGGCGACAGCUUGACCAAUCUACCGCGCGGUCUUCUGCCGUCGUUGACGCCUCCAACGCAUCAUCUGAUGCCGCACGAGGACCUGAAGAUCCCGCGCUUCUUUCCGCCGUUCGCCUAUCCGCUCUAUCCGCUGCAGCACAAGCUGAGCGACGACUUCAACGGCGGCAAGCUGGCCGCCGAUCUGGCCUUACAGGCCCUCUACACUGGCAAUCCCUUUUAUCCGAGCCACCAAACGAUGUCCUGGCCGACGAGCCUGUCGGCAGCCGUCUGUCUACAACCCAACUGUAGCUGCCCGAGUCCGCCGAAGGAGUCCAAAAGACCGAUUCCGUCGUCCAAGAUGGACGACCCACCCUUUCCGAGCCCGGCGAGGGCCGACGACGACGCCGUCGUCGCGGAGCGAGAAGAAUCCCGAUACCGAAAGCUCGAAGUGGACUUCUCCACCAAUCUGGAGAGUCAUCAUCAACAUCAUCAUCAUCAUCACCAUCAUCAUCAGGAGGACCGUUCCCAGGAUCGCUUCUCUUCCUCUUCGUCCUCGUCGCCGCCCACGGAACAACUGGAGAGAUCGUCGACGACGACGACAACGACGACAUCGUCCUCGUUAUCCUCGGCGUCGAGCGGCAGGGUCGACAGCGCUUUCUCCGUUCAGAGCCUGACGUCGACCUCCAACAGCUCGAAUUCGAGCUCGCAGCGCGGACACGUCAUAUGAAGGCCGCUCCCGGUUCUCCCGGACUUAAACUUCCGGGGGAGCCUGAUGCCGGCCGCGUGGCCGACUGCCGAUUGGUGGCGGGUGGCCCCGAUGCUCUCCCCGAUCCCUCAAACGACAGUCGUGAACCUGAGCACCGGUGUCGUCAAGGAGGACCCCGUCCAUUUCCAAGACGAGCAACAGAGGGGCUCGACUACCGUAUCCAGGUCGCCGAGGAACGGCGUGCACAUCGCCAAUGUACAGUGAUCUACUCGUCUAUCGCCGAGCAGUUGUACGCUCUGGAUGAACAUUUCGGUAUCUCGCGACCGGAAGUGAGCCAGUGCUAUCCAUGUAAUUCGGAUAAAUCGAUGAGAGCGCGCGCGUCACGCUCUCUCCUUUUAACGGAAAAACCUCUCGUUUUGUAGUUUAGAGAUCUCAUUCGGAGCAACGUAAUCCGCGACUAGCGAAAAAACGACGCGUAGUACGGGUCGGAAAGUGCCCGGCCGAAAAAUAUCGGGAUCGAGGAGUAGGCCGUAUCGGAGAAAUAGCUUCGCGACCGCAGGCCGAAGCUGGCGAAACAGAAACAGAAAUCGAUAACUCGGCUAUACGGCCCCGAAAUCCCACAAAGGAUCGGGUGCAAAGGGUCCUCUCGACCGGAUCGUGCACGCGAAGCUGGUUGCUAGAGGAGUCCAAUUCUGAUGAGAUAACCAACCCUCUCACAUGCCAUAUAUUAGGAGGCGGGCGGGCGCGGGCGCGGGCGCGUUCGGGGGUGGACACGGUAGGGGGAAGGGAGGAAAAAAAGCUCUUCUGACGGAGGCAAAUCUCUUCUUUGAAACGCGGCCGUGCGAAAUAAGCCUAAAACGUUCUGAAUGCUAACGUAGAGACGCGCACGUACCCCGACGACGCGGUUUCGGUUGUAUCUCGCGACCGGCGUCGCGCCGCGCCGCGCUGCGCCCGCUUUUCGCGAACGAAAGUAUCGAUACGGCGAAAUGGAAGACGCGUGGCUGACUCUGCGAACACGCGUCGACGCGAAUCCUUUUCUAAUAUUACGGAAAGGCCAGAAAGACAUUUUCGAAGGUUGUCAGAUUUAUUCCAUCUCGCUAAAGGUUGAUUUCGUCAAUGUUGUCUGGUAGUUCGAAUAAUGAACAGGAUUAUGUUUUUCACUUUUCUCUAAUUGCUUCGCGGAGCAUAAUUUACAACGUUGUACGUGUUUAUUAAUAUUUUGGCAAUUUAAUUUAUUGAGAUUAAGAGGCUUAUUCACCCUCACAGCUCGGUGAAGAAAUGUAAUUUGAAGAAUGAAUUGAAUGAA